AUAACAUUCGAACCGUCGGUCUACCGAGCUGUUUCACCCGCUCAGUGGAAGAUCUUUUCUUUGUUGA
RNAcentral lists this microRNA precursor (67 nucleotides) under Bombyx mori (domestic silkworm). RNAcentral describes it as "mir-2774 microRNA precursor family". It matches the Rfam family "mir-2774 microRNA precursor family". Lineage: Eukaryota; Metazoa; Arthropoda; Insecta; Lepidoptera; Bombycidae. The record is from Rfam by way of RNAcentral.